This is a non-coding RNA of Arachis ipaensis, 528 nucleotides long. Lineage: Eukaryota; Viridiplantae; Streptophyta; Magnoliopsida; Fabales; Fabaceae. The record is from RefSeq and is a predicted model, not a curated record.
UACAAAAAGAUGUUGCUUUGUUAUCACAACAUUUUGUACUGUCCUGAAUGGAGGAGGAGGAGCUAUUUCAGUAGCUCUUGUCUUGAAUCAAAAUGCUGCCAAGGUAGCUGCGGCUUCGGAAACUGCUGCAUUCUCCCAAAAUCCUGCACUUGUUCUUGCUCCAGUUAUCCCAAGAGUCAACUGAAGGCUAAGUGGGAAGAGUAGAAGAAAUUGCUUGAGAAGGCAAGAUAUGACGCUGAGAAGAAAUAUGAUGAAAUAAAUGAGCAGAAUAAAAUACUUCAUAGCCAUCUUGAAGCUUUGCAUAUUCGGAAGGCAAAGAAGGAGCACAAUGCCGCUGGUAUAUCAUUUGGAAGUAGUAGUGCAGAUACAUUUGGUGAUGCUGGUCUUCAAACUGUGAUGACUUGUCUCCGGAAUUCAAAAAAAAUUGUAAAUACUUGUCAUGUGCUGCAAAUUUGUUUCGCUUGUAUAUUUGUAUAUUCAUUUUAAGUUCUCUACUUUCACAGUCAGAAACAGAAGUGUCAGCUUUGA